UGGGGAAUAUUGCACAAUGGGCGCAAGCCUGAUGCAGCAACGCCGCGUGAGGGACGACGGCCUUCGGGUUGUAAACCUCUUUUAGUAGGGAAGAAGCGAAAGUGACGGUACCUGCAGGAAAAGCACCGGCUAACUACGUGCCAGCAGCCGCGGUAAUACGUAGGGUGCGAGCGUUGUCCGGAAUUAUUGGGCGUAAAGAGCUCGUAGGCGGUCUGUCGCGUCUGCUGUGAAAACCCGAGGCUCAACCUCGGGCCUGCAGUGGGUACGGGCAGACUAGAGUGCGGUAGGGGAGAAUGGAAUUCCUGGUGUAGCGGUGGAAUGCGCAGAUAUCAGGAGGAACACCGAUGGCGAAGGCAGUUCUCUGGGCCGUAACUGACGCUGAGGAGCGAAAGCGUGGGGAGCGAACAGGAUUAGAUACCCUGGUAGUCCACGCCGUAAACGUUGGGCGCUAGAUGUGGGGACCAUUCCACGGUUUCCGUGUCGCAGCUAACGCAUUAAGCGCCCCGCCUGGGGAGUACGGCCGCAAGGCUAAAACU
Molecule: ribosomal RNA, 536 nt
Filed under: uncultured bacterium
Lineage: Bacteria
Description: partial 16S ribosomal RNA
Rfam family: Bacterial small subunit ribosomal RNA
Source: RNAcentral